GGCUGAUGUACCUAUUGGCAGUGGCUCGGCCCAAAUGACUCUUGAGGUGGUUGUGACCGCUCCCCCAGCAUGCCUUUUACCAGUGCCAGUCACUCCCCAGCCCCUGGGAAGGUCUGAGACUAGGGCCAUGCAUGGCCCUAGCGGGGCCCUCCCCUAGUGGGGAGGUGAGUUCCCAGAGAGCAGGGCUCCGUGUGGGGGCCGACUGGGCAGGAGAGGCUGUGCUAGGCUGGCAGAUGCCCCCCCCUGCCGGAGCUUGGAACAGACUCAUGGCCAGCCAGUGAGUUCAAUCACUGAGGUGAGGCACGCAGGCCUCAUAACCCAAUUUAGACUACUCUCCCACGUC
Molecule: RNase P RNA, 343 nt
Filed under: Nannospalax galili (Upper Galilee mountains blind mole rat)
Lineage: Eukaryota; Metazoa; Chordata; Mammalia; Rodentia; Spalacidae
Description: Nuclear RNase P (ENSNGAG00000009158.1)
Rfam family: Nuclear RNase P
About the family: Ribonuclease P (RNase P) is a ubiquitous endoribonuclease, found in archaea, bacteria and eukarya as well as chloroplasts and mitochondria. Its best characterised activity is the generation of mature 5'-ends of tRNAs by cleaving the 5'-leader elements of precursor-tRNAs.
Source: RNAcentral